Molecule: transfer RNA, 57 nt
Filed under: Bos taurus (domestic cattle)
Lineage: Eukaryota; Metazoa; Chordata; Mammalia; Artiodactyla; Bovidae
Also listed under: 4 other names
Rfam family: tRNA
About the family: Transfer RNA (tRNA) molecules are approximately 80 nucleotides in length.
Source: Rfam by way of RNAcentral
UGGCUCAGAGGUUAAAGCGUCUGCCUGGAAUGCAGGAGACCCGGGUUAGAUACCUGG